UACGAAUAGUAAUAUACUGAUGAUUCUCCUAAAGCAGUGUUGCUAGAGAACAAACACCAAAAUGAUACUGUGCAUGGCGACACCACAAACACUCUUGUGAUGUAGAACAGAACACGUACUCUGAUGUAGCUAUGACAGAAGGACCUUUGUCAUGAUCUCUGUGAUAUCCACAUCUGUUACCUUAAGCUACAGUGUUCACAUGAGAACGUUCCAGGGAUACAUGGAGACAUCUUUGUCUGGCUGAAAGGCAGGCAUAAAUCAUAUAAACAAUUGGCUUAAUUUGGAUGGAGCUGUCCGAGGGCCCUAAAUUAAUCUCUACCUCAAAGUGAGUCCCAGUAAAUUUGGAGAGCCUCAGACGGUGGCUUCAUCUGUGCUCAUUACUCAUCCCCCAGUUCUUCCUGCUGGUGCUAUGUCUGCUGCCGACCACCCGGGGGCAUCGCCUCUGCGGUAGGGACACCGCGGCUUGAGGCCCACGUCCUCCUCUGGUAGAGCACACGGUUACUACAUCUGGAACACGGGCAGGCCCCCUUGGUCCCCAGUGCAUGACGGACGCCUGGAUGGAAUUUUAACAAGACUGUAGCGAACGCCUGUGGGAAACGGAAGCGAAGCCAGCCUCGAAGUCUCCGAGCUCCCUUAGAGCCACCUGACCUUAAGCGACACGACUCCUCCUUUCUGCUUAGGGAGUGUUCGGACAUCUCCAAAGCCACAUUACGGCCCAAGAGAAUGAGGAAGGCGUUUCUACAACCUGAAGUGACCCAGGAUUAACCUUGUCCCAGGAUGAUGAAAAACGCAAAGCAGCAACUCCAGCAGAGAGCUUCGUCAUGACACCAUGCAGAACGGAGAGGCCCAAGGCCCUGAAACAGCCACGGAGUAUCUGCCAGAACAUCUCUGCCAGGAAGGCCAGCGAAACCCUCACGCGUGCUUUUUACCAGAGACCUAAACUCCACAUCACCUACAAAGAACUGUAUGAAAACGAGGAGAAAUAUGUAGAAACAGGCAUGUGUAAAUGACGUUUUAGAAAAAGAAAUUUCUCUAUUGGAAAUAAUUUACAGUGUGAUCUCUCUGCUGAAAAAACAACUGUAGGCUUGUUGCAGAGAAGACAAUUUCAC
This 1109-nucleotide long non-coding RNA is filed under the name Equus caballus (horse). RNAcentral describes it as "lncRNA (ENSECAG00000050958.1)". The record is from RNAcentral. Lineage: Eukaryota; Metazoa; Chordata; Mammalia; Perissodactyla; Equidae.